Molecule: long non-coding RNA, 535 nt
Organism: Nyctereutes procyonoides (raccoon dog)
Lineage: Eukaryota; Metazoa; Chordata; Mammalia; Carnivora; Canidae
Exons: 3
Source: RefSeq, a predicted model, not a curated record
GCUCACCGGGGGCCUCACGAAGUCACAGAAUCAACAAAAUCCGUUCGUGUGUGCAGCCCCCACGUGUCGUGCGCAUUAGCGUGGCCGACAGCGAGCGAGGCGGGCCCUGGAUCAGCAGCCGCGUAACAAGUGAAAGUGAACAUAUGUUCCUGUGACACCUUCUUCUUUCUAAAUUCAAAGAGAAAAAGAUGAAGACAAGGAGGGAUGAGUUGGCGGAUGGACGGAUCAAUGGACAGAUAGACCACCACCUUUGAAAUAAAGCAGGAAGCAAAAGACCCUACUGGCAAAGCAUCCUGGGAAGAGAACCAAAACUACCCCCUCAACAAUAAGGACUGCCCUGAGCCAGUAAGAUCCAGCCUGUGAUGGAUUUGACCUUCACUGCCCACCUGCAUACAUCCACAAACCGUUGUUUUACAUUUUCUUUAUAUAAACCUGAAGGUAUUUUCAGCACUUUGGAGACAGUCUUUGAGACACUAGCCCACUUUCUUUUGGUGUUGUCCUCACCAAAAUAAAUUCCUUUCUUGUUUCACCACCA